Molecule: ribosomal RNA, 753 nt
Filed under: uncultured bacterium
Lineage: Bacteria
Description: bacterial SSU rRNA
Rfam family: Bacterial small subunit ribosomal RNA
Source: RNAcentral
ACACAUGCAAGUCGAACGAGGAUUUAACGGAAUGCGAUUCGUCAAAUGAAAUUAAAUCCGAGUGGCGGACGGGUGAGUAACGCGUGGAUAACCUGCCUCACACAGGGGGACAACAGCCGGAAACGGCUGCUAAUACCGCAUAACACAAGCAAUUCGCAUGAAUAGCUUGUCAAAGAUUUUAUCGGUGUGAGAUGGAUCCGCGUCUGAUUAGCCAGUUGGCGGGGUAACGGCCCACCAAAGCGACGAUCAGUAGCCGACCUGAGAGGGUGACCGGCCACAUUGGGACUGAGACACGGCCCAAACUCCUACGGGAGGCAGCAGUGGGGAAUAUUGCACAAUGGGCGCAAGCCUGAUGCAGCGACGCCGCGUGAAGGAUGAAGUAUUUCGGUAUGUAAACUUCUAUCAGCAGGGAAGAAAAUGACGGUACCUGACUAAGAAGCCCCGGCUAACUACGUGCCAGCAGCCGCGGUAAUACGUAGGGGGCAAGCGUUAUCCGGAUUUACUGGGUGUAAAGGGAGCGUAGAUGGCAUGGCAAGUCUGAAGUGAAAGCCCGGGGCUUAACCCCGGGACUGCUUUGGAAACUGUUAAGCUAGAGUGCAGGAGAGGUAAGCGGAAUUCCUAGUGUAGCGGUGAAAUGCGUAGAUAUUAGGAGGAACACCGGUGGCGAAGGCGGCUUACUGGACUGUAACUGACAUUGAGGCUCGAAAGCGUGGGGAGCAAACAGGAUUAGAUACCCUGGUAGUCCACGCCGUA